This 84-nucleotide transfer RNA is filed under the name Gemmatimonadaceae bacterium. RNAcentral's name for it is "tRNA-Leu". It matches the Rfam family "tRNA". From Rfam's summary of the family: Transfer RNA (tRNA) molecules are approximately 80 nucleotides in length. The record is from RNAcentral. Lineage: Bacteria; Pseudomonadati; Gemmatimonadota; Gemmatimonadia; Gemmatimonadales; Gemmatimonadaceae.
GCCCGGAUGGCGGAACUGGCAGACGCACGGGACUCAAAAUCCCGCGAUCGCAAGGUCAUGAGAGUUCGAUCCUCUCUCCGGGCA